This 1117-nucleotide long non-coding RNA is filed under the name Parus major (Great Tit). RNAcentral describes it as "lncRNA (ENSPMJG00000003904.1)". Lineage: Eukaryota; Metazoa; Chordata; Aves; Passeriformes; Paridae. The record is from RNAcentral.
AUUAAAACCUGGGGUUUUUAUUCCUGAGCCAAAUUUGUAAACAAGGCAUAGACCCAGACUUCUAAGCUGUCAUGGCAAAGGCUAGAAAAGGGGAAGAAACCAGUGCCAGCUCAAGUGAAGUGUAUGCUGUGAGUGUUGCUCUCAUUUCUAGCAGGGAGGACUUUGACAUUCUAAACCAGCAGCUCAGCCAUGGCCUCCAGAGGCCAAUGCAGCAGAAGCCCUUCAGAGAAAGAGGACCGUGGAAACUUGCCUUGUGUUGGUGGUACCUUCUGGUCAGGGCCCAGCAACAGUGGGACUGCAGGGAAGGGCAGAUUUUCCAAGCAGCAGCUAUGCUGGCAGAGCUACCUGCCAUGCUGUGCAGCCACAUCGGUGCCAAGAGGUUCUGGGAAAAUGUGGGCAGUGACGCCACAGAACAGUAACGACGGAGGUGGAUUCCUGGAAGAAGCCUUCUGAGAGCAGCAGCCCCUGGUGCAGCAUACUGUGGGGUGUACUGCUUUAGGGACAACUGAAAUGUAGAAGGGGUCAGACAGUCACACUGGCACGCUGCAGUGUCCUGUCCACACAACAGGCAGCAACCUUACUGAACCGGUCACGGAAAAUGGGCUGCUUGGCCAGGAGGAAGCAGCUUAGACAUCACAGCUUUCAUUCAGAAUUAGCUGUGAGCUGGCCAGGAGCUGGCCAGGCAUAAAUUGUGUUUAGGGUUUGUCCUGCCAGCUGCGUUACCAACAAGGCAAAAACUGUCCAAGGUUCACACACUUAACCAUACCUGUCAUAAGGUUGCUAAACUUUUCCCUAGGGCUGGUACUACACUAUUUACUGUAUUGGCAUGCUGUCUUUUCUGUUCAACUGCUGCAUGAUUGUACUAUAGCACGUGCUGUUGACAAGGACUAAAGCUCAGAUUGAGCUGUGUAAAGAGGUAACUGUGGCCUUGAUCUCUCCAUGAGGAAACCAAAGUAAAUUACUGGAUGCCGAAUGAGUUACUCCCUGUUUAUUUCAGUUUAAGCAAGCUUAGAAUCUGAUCUUUAGAUCAUAUUAUUUCUCUAAUUCAACUGGUCAUAUUUAUAAAUUCAUGUAAUGGUUAAAAUUAUCCAAUAAAUGCCAGCACACAAUCCUAGCA